This 223-nucleotide ribosomal RNA is filed under the name uncultured bacterium. RNAcentral describes it as "partial 16S ribosomal RNA". It matches the Rfam family "Bacterial small subunit ribosomal RNA", at positions 109 to 334 of the family's 1533-position model. The record is from RNAcentral.
AGUAACACGUAGAUGACCUGCCCCAUAGUGGGGAAUAACAGCCUGAAAGGGUUGCUAAUACCGCAUAAGCUCCUGGUCGUGGGACGAGGAGGAAACGCUUAGGCGGCUAAGGGAGGGGUCUGCGGCGGAUUAGCUAGAUGGUGGGGUAAAGGCCUACCAUGGCGACGAUCCGUAGCUGGUCUGAGAGGAUGAUCGGCCACACUGGCACUGAGAUACGGGCCAG